UUUUUAGUAUAAGUAUGCUCAUGCAGUAUUUGGGACAUAUUUAUACUAAAA
RNAcentral lists this microRNA precursor (51 nucleotides) under Loxodonta africana (African savanna elephant). RNAcentral's name for it is "mir-1302 microRNA precursor family". It matches the Rfam family "mir-1302 microRNA precursor family". The record is from Rfam by way of RNAcentral. Lineage: Eukaryota; Metazoa; Chordata; Mammalia; Proboscidea; Elephantidae.